Molecule: ribosomal RNA, 460 nt
Filed under: uncultured bacterium
Lineage: Bacteria
Description: partial 16S ribosomal RNA
Rfam family: Bacterial small subunit ribosomal RNA
Source: RNAcentral
CCUACGGGUGGCAGCAGUGAGGAAUAUUGGUCAAUGGACGCAAGCCUGAACCAGCCAAGCCGCGUGCAGGAAGACGGCUCUAUGAGUUGUAAACUUCUUUUGUACGAGGGUAAACUCAGAUACGUGUAUCUGUCUGAAAGUAUCGUACGAAUAAGGAUCGGCUAACUCCGUGCCAGCAGCCGCGGUAAUACGGAGGAUUCAAGCGUUAUCCGGAUUUAUUUGGUUUAAAGGGCGGGUAGGCGGUCGGAUAAGUUAGAGGUGAAAUCCCGGGGCUCAACUUCGGAAUUGCCUGUGAUACUGUUCGGCUAGAGAGUAGUUGAGGUAGGCGGAAUGUAUGGUGUAGCGGUGAAAUGCUUAGAGAUCAUACAGAACACCGAUUGCGAAGGCAGUUUACCAAGCUACUUCUGACGUUGAGGCACGAAAGCGUGGGGAGCAAACAGGAUUAGAUACCCUAGUAGUC